GACGAACGCUGGCGGCGUGCUUAACACAUGCAAGUCGAACGGAAAGGCCCUGCUUUUGUGGGGUGCUCGAGUGGCGAACGGGUGAGUAACACGUGAGUAACCUGCCCUUGACUUUGGGAUAACUUCAGGAAACUGGGGCUAAUACCGGAUAGGAGCUCCUGCUGCGUGGGGGGGGUUGGAAAGUUUCGGCGGUUGGGGAUGGACUCGCGGCUUAUCCGCUUGUUGGUGGGGUAGUGGCUUACCAAGGCUUUGAAGGGUAGCCGGCCUGAGAGGGUGACCGGCCACCUGGGGACUGAGAGACGGCGCAGACUGCUACGGGAGGCAGCAGUGGGGAAUAUUGCACAAUGGGCGGAAGCCUGAUGCAGCAACGCCGCGUGCGGGAUGACGGCCUUCGGGUUGUAAACCGAUUUCGCCUGUGACGAAGCGUGAGUGACGGUAAUGGGUAAAGAAGCACCGGCUAACUACGUG
Molecule: ribosomal RNA, 468 nt
Filed under: uncultured bacterium
Lineage: Bacteria
Description: partial 16S ribosomal RNA
Rfam family: Bacterial small subunit ribosomal RNA
Source: RNAcentral